RNAcentral lists this transfer RNA (70 nucleotides) under Marmota monax (woodchuck). RNAcentral's name for it is "tRNA.Undet". Lineage: Eukaryota; Metazoa; Chordata; Mammalia; Rodentia; Sciuridae. The record is from RNAcentral.
GGGGUUGUGGCUCAGUGGUAGAGUACUUGCCCCACAGUGUGAGGUACUGCGUUGGAUCCUCAGCACCUUA